GACAGAGGGUGCAAACGUUGCUCGGAAUUACUGGGCGUAAAGCGCGUGUAGGCGGUUUCGCAAGUCAGGUGUGAAAGCCCGGGGCUCAACCCCGGAAGUGCACUUGAUACUACGGAGCUUGAGUACUGAAGAGGAGAGCGGAAUUCCCGGUGUAGAGGUGAAAUUCGUAGAUAUCGGGAGGAACACCAGUGGCGAAGGCGGCUCUCUGGGCAGAUACUGACGCUGAGACGCGAAAGCAUGGGGAGCAAACAGG
Molecule: ribosomal RNA, 253 nt
Filed under: uncultured bacterium
Lineage: Bacteria
Description: partial 16S ribosomal RNA
Rfam family: Bacterial small subunit ribosomal RNA
Source: RNAcentral